UACGUAGGUGGCAAGCGUUGUCCGGAUUUAUUGGGUUUAAAGGGUGCGUAGGCGGCUUUGUAAGUCAGUGGUGAAAUAUGGCAGCUCAACUGUCAAGGUGCCAUUGAUACUGCGGAGCUUGAGUACAGAUGAGGUAGGCGGAAUUGACGGUGUAGCGGUGAAAUGCUUAGAUAUCGUCAAGAACACCUAUAGCGAAGGCAGCUUACUAGGCUGUAACUGACGCUGAGGCACGAAAAGUGUGGGGAUCAAACAGG
Molecule: ribosomal RNA, 254 nt
Filed under: uncultured bacterium
Lineage: Bacteria
Description: partial 16S ribosomal RNA
Rfam family: Bacterial small subunit ribosomal RNA
Source: RNAcentral